UGGGGAAUAUUGCACAAUGGAGGAAACUCUGAUGCAGCGACGCCGCGUGAGUGAAGAAGGCCUUCGGGUCGUAAAGCUCUGUCCUAGGGGAAGAUAAUGACGGUACCCUAGGAGGAAGCCCCGGCUAACUACGUGCCAGCAGCCGCGGUAAUACGUAGGGGGCGAGCGUUGUCCGGAAUUACUGGGCGUAAAGAGUUCGUAGGCGGUCUGAUAAGUCAGAUGUGAAAGGCGUAGGCUUAACCUAUGUAAGCAUAUGAAACUGUCAGACUUGAGGUAAGGAGAGGAAAGUGGAAUUCCUAGUGUAGCGGUGAGAUGCGUAGAUAUUAGGAGGAAUACCAGUGGCGAAGGCGACUUUCUGGACUUAAACUGACGCUGAGGAACGAAAGCGUGGGGAGCAAACA
This 401-nucleotide ribosomal RNA is filed under the name uncultured Soehngenia sp. RNAcentral's name for it is "bacterial SSU rRNA". It matches the Rfam family "Bacterial small subunit ribosomal RNA", at positions 355 to 774 of the family's 1533-position model. The record is from RNAcentral. Lineage: Bacteria; Bacillati; Bacillota; Tissierellia; Tissierellales; Tissierellaceae.